GUUGAGUGUUUAAUCUGUGGUAAGAGUACAGAAAAUCUAAACAGACAGACUAUUGAGAUAUUAGCUGCAAGAAAGUUUAGACAUUACUUCAGAAGGAUUUUGACCAGGAACAAAAUCUACUGAAUAUGUCAAGCUCUUCAUCUCUUUGUAAAUUGAAUCAAGGGAGUUUGAGUGUGUGUGGGGUCUGUAUGUGUUUACUGUGUGGAAUCAGAGAACAUUGCCAGUAGUCAGAUAUAAAGGUUAUAAUGUUAAAAAGCACACAACCCAAAGCAAAACUCUCCUUUUUUUUUCUGAGCCUUGACAUACCUGGAAGCGCAUUUCUUUGUUUUUUUUUUAUUAUUAUUUUCUCUAUACUGUAACUUAAAAGUCUUGUAGGCUUCAUUUUAAACCUCAAACUUUUUUGAUGCCAAGAUUUGAUAAGGAGAAGGGAAUAGUAGAACUUUGUGCUUUCAACAGCAAAACCAAGAGACUAGGAGCAGAUAUUUGAUUUAGCCCCAGUAUAUAAAAUAAGAGGCAUUGGUGAAGCUCAGCAGGUUCCUUUGAUGAGGGCCUCUGAGGAGUCUCACCUGUAACCAAUUUAUCUCCUGGGUCAGGUUGCAGAACAUGUGAACACAGACAGUACUCUUUUGUGCUUUGUUCUUGUAGUUUGUAAUUUGGAGUUCAGUCUUAACAGAUGUGAUUUUUUCCUGUCUUAAUGUUGGAUAAAUGAACAAUUGGGGAAGUACUGUUUUACUUGUGCAGCUUUAUUUCCUGAAAACUUGGACUUUGUGAUAUGCUUGGCAGACUGCUCUGUGUCAUGUACCUGCAGUUAUGAAGCUAAAGAGAUGGGAACUUGAAGCAGCUACAAUACCAGGUUCAAUAUUGACAAAAAACUAGGAAAACCAUCAACAAUCUAAGACAGCACCUACCCCUAGAAGACACACCUUUGUGAAGCCUACAUGAAAUAAACAACAGCGAUAUCAUCAAUAAGGAGAAAGCUUCUCCUGAAAAGAACAUAGCAUGCAUUUCGAUGUACCGAUCCUAAUUCCACAGGAAGUCCACGGAGAGAGUUACCUUAAGGAAAAGUCAGUUUCUACUGAUGUCAUUGAAACAACAGUAGUUUCCUCCAUGGAAAAAGUACAGGAGUUCCCCCUCUGUUACACGCCCUGGAGAAUGCUGCUGUGGAUGGCAAAGAGUGUGACUCAUCUGGCUAUAGAGCUGGAAGUGUAAUAUUAAAGAAAAUAAAUAACAAGACUGAAAAGAGCAUUAAAUGAGGAAAUGAGGCAUGAAUGCGUGAGACAGAGGUUAUUCUACUACAUGCAAGUAGAUACCACCUAAUUACUUGGGAAGUAGCAGUUAGUAAGUACAAGAUCAUGAAUGAAUUAGAAACAAUCCAGGAUGCGCCCAAAUUCGCCAAUCUAGUAGUUUCACUUCCAGCAACAGGUGGCUGCU
Long non-coding RNA from Pezoporus occidentalis (night parrot), 1431 nucleotides. RefSeq lists it as uncharacterized. NCBI's taxonomy places the organism in Eukaryota, Metazoa, Chordata, Aves, Psittaciformes, Psittacidae. The transcript has 5 exons. The record is from RefSeq and is a predicted model, not a curated record.